RNAcentral lists this ribosomal RNA (484 nucleotides) under uncultured bacterium. Its description in RNAcentral is "partial 16S ribosomal RNA". It matches the Rfam family "Bacterial small subunit ribosomal RNA", at positions 30 to 507 of the family's 1533-position model. The record is from RNAcentral.
AUUGAACGCUGGCGGCAGGCCUAACACAUGCAAGUCGAGCGGAUGAAGGGAGCUUGCUCCUGGAUUCAGCGGCGGACGGGUGAGUAAUGCCUAGGAAUCUGCCUGGUAGUGGGGGAUAACGUCCGGAAACGGGCGCUAAUACCGCAUACGUCCUGAGGGAGAAAGUGGGGGAUCUUCGGACCUCACGCUCUCAGAUGAGCCUAGGUCGGAUUAGCUAGUUGGUGGGGUAAAGGCCUACCAAGGCGACGAUCCGUAACUGGUCUGAGAGGAUGAUCAGUCACACUGGAACUGAGACACGGUCCAGACUCCUAAGGGAGGCAGCAGUGGGGAAUAUUGGACAAUGGGCGAAAGCCUGAUCCAGCCAUGCCGCGUGUGUGAAGAAGGUCUUCGGAUUGUAAAGCACUUUAAGUUGGGAGGAAGGGCAGUAAGUUAAUACCUUGCUGUUUUGACGGUACCAACAGAAUAAGCACCGGCUAACUUCGUG